UAGGGAAUCUUCGGCAAUGGGGGGAACCCUGACCGAGCAACGCCGCGUGAGUGAAGAAGGUUUUCGGAUCGUAAAGCUCUGUUGUUAAGGAAGAACGAGUGUGAGAAUGGAAAGUUCAUGCUGUGACGGUACUUAACCAGAAAGGGACGGCUAACUACGUGCCAGCAGCCGGUAAUACGUAGGUCCCGAGCGUUGUCCGGAUUUAUUGGGCGUAAAGCGAGCGCAGGCGGUCAAUUAAGUCUGAUGUGAAAGCCCCCGGCUCAACCGGGGAGGGUCAUUGGAAACUGGUUGACUUGAGUGCAGAAGAGGAGAGUGGAAUUCCAUGUGUAGCGGUGAAAUGCGUAGAUAUAUGGGGGAACACCAGUGGCGAAGGCGACUCUCUGGUCUGUAACUGACGCUGAGGCUCGAAAGCGUGGGUAGCAAACAGG
Molecule: ribosomal RNA, 428 nt
Filed under: Bacteroidota bacterium
Lineage: Bacteria; Pseudomonadati; Bacteroidota
Description: Bacteroidetes bacterium partial 16S ribosomal RNA
Rfam family: Bacterial small subunit ribosomal RNA
Source: RNAcentral